AAUAUUCUUGGACUUCACUAAGAUAUUUUUAAAUCAAAAUUUAAUUAAAAAUUCUAUUCUUUUCCUUACUGGUGACUUAGAAAUUUUCAAAUAUCUUUGAGAUGUCAAGGAAAUAAAAGCUUGUCUACUUUCUUCUUUAGGUAGCUGAAGCUCAAGAUACUGUACGGCAACAUUACAGAGAUGCGAUUAUUUACCUAUGAAGACUCAAAAAGAUCUUCUGAUACCAACUUUGUACAGAUGACAGAGCCCUGUGAUUCAAAUUCCCUGACAUGCUUGAAGGCUGUCAUGCACCCCAUCAAAACAGAAUUUCCAAGUCUCUGCAUCAGUUAGUAUGGACUGAAAUAUGGUUCUCAUGUCAAAUGAAGGCUCCAAAGCCAGGGGUCUGUCUAAAACACCAGCUGAGUGCUCCCUUAGCCCUUCUGAAUCAACUUCAAAAUCUCACAAGGGAAGGGAGACAUUUCCUCAAAGGCUCCCGGAUUGCAUCCAUGAGAAACAACUUUUCACAAUCUGAUUAUUCUCCAAAGGAAACAGCCAAAGCAGAACUGAAGAGGCAGGGUUUCAAACUGUAA
This 569-nucleotide long non-coding RNA is filed under the name Coturnix japonica (Japanese quail). Its description in RNAcentral is "lncRNA (ENSCJPG00005016457.1)". Lineage: Eukaryota; Metazoa; Chordata; Aves; Galliformes; Phasianidae. The record is from RNAcentral.